AUGCCUUAAACUAAUGAAUAAGGAAAAUAAUGGUUGGGGUGACGCCUAAAUCCUCACUGCUAAUGUGAGAUGAAUUUUUCAGCUGGUAAAGGUCGACCCUAAGGUGACCUCCCUGCUUUACAGGAUUCCUGGGUGAACAAUCUGGCCUU
This is a small nuclear RNA of Sorex fumeus (smoky shrew), 149 nucleotides long. RefSeq annotates it as U12 minor spliceosomal RNA. The record is from RefSeq and is a predicted model, not a curated record. The transcript has a single exon. Lineage: Eukaryota; Metazoa; Chordata; Mammalia; Eulipotyphla; Soricidae.